This is a long non-coding RNA of Triticum aestivum (bread wheat), 1338 nucleotides long. RefSeq lists it as uncharacterized. NCBI's taxonomy places the organism in Eukaryota, Viridiplantae, Streptophyta, Magnoliopsida, Poales, Poaceae. The transcript is spliced from 3 exons. The record is from RefSeq and is a predicted model, not a curated record.
CCCACCCUGUCAUCCCGUUCUUCCAGGCGUGUUCGUCAGGGACACUGUAGCCGAUCCAAAUUGGAUCGAUUCGAUCGAUCUCUUGCCUCUACAGCAUCAAAACUACUCCAUAAAUACUCAUAUCUCCGUCUCGUCCUAUUUUUCGGCAAAAUAGCCGUCUCCCGUACCCUAGAACGGCGCCCCGAUCUCGCCGGAGUUCUUCGCCCGAAGCUCCUGUCGCUGUCGAUUCUGUCGCGUCUGGACGCAUCCAAACCGAGCACAUCGAGCUUGACCCGAAUCUCCACUCCGACGUCUCCGCUCCAGCCGGUCCUCGUGGACGCUAGCAGAAGCUCCGGUCGCCCAGUGGACAUCUUCGAGUUCGACGUGUCCCUCCACGCCUCGUCCUGCUCUCCCCGAGCUCGGGAGGCCUCUCCAGCGACGCCAGCUUCAAAUCCGAGCCGCGCCGCCGCCGUCUCGUUCAAUUCCGGCCGGCCUACUCUGUUCCUCUCCGAUUGUCCGGAGUGUGAAGCAGAUCGGAAUUAAUCGUUAGAGUACUUCAGCACCGUUCAAGGCAAGUUUGCACUUUUGAUUUUGCUCAUCCUAUACUAUGCAUGUGUGGUUUUAUGCUAUGAUAUAUGUUUGGCCUGGUAUGUGUAUCCCGUGUUACCAUGUUUUGUUGUCGAUUGUGGUAUGUGAUGGUGUGAUCAACUUGCUAUGGUAGACGUGGGCAUGUGCCGAGUGAUCCAUGAAAGUGGUGAGUGUUUAUAGCCGUAAGUUCGGGAUUAUUAACCAGGUGAAUGCGUUGUUGGCAGAGCGCUCUAUUGUCCCUAGAGAAUGCGCCAUUGACAGAGCGCACUUGAGGCGAGGUAUAGUUUUUGGGAGAUAAAUCAGGUGAAUGCGUCCUUGGUAGAGCGCUCUAUUGUUCCUAGAGAAUGCGCCACUGACAGAGCGCACUUGAGACAUACUUCUGAAGUUUUUGUCAUGUUUAUUUAGAAUCUUUGGGUUAUCUUGGGCGAGUAAAUUAGAGUCAGUUGUGAGUUCAGGUAGUGGAGGUAGGUGAAGACAUUGUUCUCCAAACUAACUUGUGUGUCUUGUUUGUCAUACAUUGCUUUGUGGAUGUAGGUUUGCUAUAUCAUAUUGUGUGAUUUUCCAAUACAUUCAAUGUAUUGACCCUUUGUGGCUGCAACUUAUCAUGUUGCAGGAUUUUUAGAUGAUCAGUGAGAUACAGUAGGGUCGCGAGUCUUCACUCAACAUGUUCUCCGGUGGGCAUUGAUGGACUCAUUGUUGAUUAUGCUACCUUUUCGUUGUUAUUAUUGAAUAAGUUAGCUAUGUGCUACUCAGAUUGUAAUAUUUUAUAAA